ACAGAGUUUGUUAGAAAGAUAAAAGCAACAGUAGUGCGGCAUUGCGAGGCAGGCAAAAAUGUUAUGAGUGAUUUCUGGUUUUCUCAUCCCUUUCUUCUGUUUCCUCAUCUCCUUCCUCUACCUAUCUUAGCUACUUUCCUUUUGCAUUUUCAUUUGUAAUUCAGUCAAUUGACUGUUGCAAGUUACUGUCCAAUUUGUAAUUGUUCUCCAGUUAACUAACAUCAAUUAGAUAGUUUGGCUACUGUUUCAUUGAGUAAUAGUUGGCAUUACAUUGGUGCUUUCAUUUUAUAGGUCUGUGAUGGAAGACCAACAACAACUCAAGGCUCUCAUUGCCGACUCGGUUCAGGAAGUGAAGGAUUCCAUUUCUAAAGAACUCGCUGAGAUUCGUGGGAUUCUCCUGGAGGUUGUCGGAAACAGAGCUCUGGCAGGUCGGGGACAAGAGGUAACCACUCUUCGUCACAAGCCGGCUUCGGUGGAGUUUGGUCAAUUUUGCGGCGAGAAUCCAGAGGCUUGGUUAUUUCAAGCGGAGCGCUACUUUGCUCAUUAUGAAAUUGCGGAUGAUGAGAAGCUCACUAUUGCAUCGUUUUACCUCGACGGCGAUGCCUUAGAAUGGUAUCGAUGGUUGUACUGGAAUAAGCAAUUGGCGGGUUGGGAGCAUUUUGCAGAGAAGGUACGGAUUCGUUUCCUUCCUAAGGGGCUCGAAUCUGCUGAAGGACGGUUGGCCAAGCUCCGGCAAAUCACCACCGUAUCUGAGUUACAAAGCCGCUUUGAGAAGAUAGCAAACGAGACUACUGACAUCUCUGAUCGGCUCUUGGUACGUCUUUUUGUUUCUGGGCUGCGUACUGAUAUUAAGAGUUCUGUUUUAGCCCAUCGGCCCACUACAUAUGAGGAUGCUGUACAUUUAGCCCAUAUUCACGAGAAACGUAUCCUAGCUGAAAAAGGCCCACCUCGCCCCGCAUUUGCCAAUAGAACUCCGCCCCUUUUACCCAACCCUGAUACAGUCCCAAAUAAUAUUUCCUCCACCUCUGUCGGCCCUUCCAAUUCACCACCGCAAAACCGCCCACCCAUUAAACGAUUAUCCCAUGCUGAACUUCAGAGCCGUCGAGAGCGGGGUCUUUGUUAUUAUUGUGAGGAAAAGUAUACCGCAGGUCAUAAGUGUAAAUCGCCUCCUCAAUUAUUGCUCCUCACCAAUGAGCCGGAGGUGGUUUUAUCCAUGCCGGAACCCUUCCUCUCUGAUGAAGUAUUGGCAGAGGAGUUGCAAUGUUUGGAGAUACAGGAACAUUCUACUAUCUCGUAUCACGCUUUAACUGGUGGUCAUUCCCCAUCUACACUCCGAUUCACUGGGCAGAUUAAUGGCUCCUCUGUUCAGGUCUUAGUGGAUGGAGGAAGUACCCACAACUUCGUCCAACUGCGAGCCGCGAAGUACUUACAACUGUUUGUGGACUCCAUUUCCCCUGUCGCUGUUAUGGUGGGUAGCGGCCAUCGCCUUAGGUGUGAGGGAGUGGCAAGGCAGACCACCCUUUUACUUCAAGGGAGCACGGUGGUAGAAGAUUUUUAUGUCCUACCAUUCGAGGGGUCUGAUGUGGUAUUAGGGGUAUCAUGGCUCGCCAAAUUAGGUCCUGUACUUACUAAUUAUGCCACUAGGGAAUUUGAGUUCAACUGGAAUGGGUGUCGAGUGAAGUGGCAAGGGGAACCCUCUAUUGAUAUUCAACCGAUACAGUUACAUAGCUUGCGAAGGAUGGCUGCCACCGACGCUAUUGCUUCAUUCUUUCAUCUGGAAAUGCUUUGUGGGGAGGUAGCAUCCGUGGUGGCACCCACUGCAGAGUUAGCGUCCCUUUUGGACUCUUUUGAGGAUGUUUUUCAAAAAACAGUGGGCUUACCACCCUCACGUGCCCAAGAUCAUGCUAUACAUCUCAUUCCGGGCGCGCAACCUGUUAAUGUGAAGCCCUACAGGUACCCCUAUUUUCAAAAGCAAAUUAUGGAACAACUAGUUGCCGAUAUGCUCAAGGAAGGUGUGAUUCGAGCAAGCGCUAGCCCUUUCUCUUCUCCAGUGCUGCUGGUCCGUAAGAAGGAUGGCACAUGGCGAUUUUGUGUCGACUAUAGAGCAUUGAAUGCACUGACCAUCCGUGAUCGCUUUCCAAUCCCUACCAUAGACGAAUUGUUUGAUGAGUUAUUUGGGGCACAAUUUUUUUCCAAGCUGGACCUUCUUUCUGGGUAUCACCAGAUAAGAGUUAAGCCCGAAGAUGUGGCUAAGACCGCAUUUCACACUCAUGAAGGUCAUUACGAAUUCCUCGUCAUGCCCUUUGGCCUUACUAACGCCCCCUCUACAUUCCAGGCGCUAAUGAAUGACAUUUUCAGACCAUGUUUACGGCGCUUUGUCUUAGUAUUUUUCGAUGAUAUAUUGGUCUAUAGUCCAGAUUGGGAGGCACAUCUGGAGCAUUUGGAACUUGUUCUGUCCUUGCUUCGAAAGUAUCAGUUGGUCGCCAAAAGAUCUAAGUGUCUAUUUGGUCAGCAGUCGGUGGAUUAUUUGGGGCACGUUAUUUAUGCUCAAGGGUUGUCUGUUGAUCCUGCCAAGAUUGCUGCAAUUCAGCAAUGGCCUAUCCCUCGCUCUGUAAAAGAUGUCCGUAGUUUUUUGGGAUUAGCCGGGUAUUACCGGCGUUACAUUCAUCAUUAUGCCGCGAUUGCCGGGCCACUUUCAGACCUAUUGCGGAAAGACUCUUUCAAAUGGAGCGAGGCAGCACAAGAAGCUUUCGAUGCAUUGAAGUCUAAGUUGGCUGCGACACCUGUUUUGACUUUGCCGAAUUUCAACCAGGAAUUCCAAUAGAGACAGAUUCUUCGGGGCAAGGCAUUGGGGCUAUCUUAUCACAAAAGGGUCAUCCUAUAGCCUAUUUCAGCCAGAAGUUGUGUCCAUGAAUGCAAAAUGUCUCGACUUAUCACAGAGAAAUGUUUUCCAUUACUCAAGCUGUGAGUAAAUGGCGACAGUAUUUGUUGUGGAGAAAAUUUACCAUUUAUACGGAUCAACAGUCCUUGAAGAAUCUCACAAAUCAGACCAUUCAAACACCUGAACAAUAGAAAUGGCUCACAAAGUUGGUGGGCUAUGAUUUUCGCAUCGUGUGUCGGCCCGACAAGCAAAACAUUGUAGCUGAUGCCCUGUCUCGUACCCCUGCUGCUUCUUUAAUGGUUCUGUCUGUCAACACCUUCGCAAUCGAACAAGAAUUGAAAGCUCUAAAUCAGUCCCACCCUGAGUUAUUAGAUAUACAGCAGCGUUUACAGCAAAAAGAUGUGAACUUCUGCGAGUAUCAAUGGAAAUAAGGUCAUCUGUUUUACAAAGGAAGAUUGGUGGUUCCUUCAGAUUCACCACUCCGCCAUAAGCUCAUGUUCGAUUUCACUCUUCAUCCAUUGGCGGCCAUGCUGGGGUAGCCCGAACCUAUCACCACUUAGCUUCCAAUUUCUUUUGGAACCACAUGCGACGAGAUGUUAAAUCCUUUGUAGCUGCAUGCCAAGUUUGUAAGCAGAUGAAGGAUACUCAUUUGCAUUCAGCGGGGUUGUUACAACCCCUUCCUAUUCCUGACCAAGUGUUUGAGGAUAUUGCAAUGGAUUUUAUCACUUGUCUUCCAAGUUCGAAAGGGAAGACUACAAUCAUGACAAUAAUUGAUCGUUUAUCCAAAUAUGGGCACUUUAUUCCAUUGCCAUCUACAUUCUCUACUCAAUUGGUUGCAGAAGCUUUUGUCGUGGGUGUAAUUCAGCUUCACGGUCCACCAAGAACUAUUGUAACUGACCGAGACCCUAGGUUCUUACACUCUUUUUGGCAAGAGCUCAAUCGCUUACAGGGAUCUACUUUGGCUAUGAGUACUGCCUAUCAUCCCCAAUCGGAUGGGCAGUCUGAAGCUCUAAACAAAUGUGUCGAGCAGUACCUCCGCUGCUAUGUUGCUGUUGUUCCUUCGCAAUGGGUAGCUAUGCUGCCGUGGGCUGAAUAUUGGUACAACACAGCCUACCAAACAUCAGCAGGGAUGACUCCGUUCCAUGCCUUGUAUGGUCGUGAACCCCCGACUAUUGCCCGUUAUAUACUAGGCAGCACUGCUAGCGGGUUGGUGGAGACUUAUUUGCUACAACGGGAUGAAGUGCUGCAGUUGCUCAAGCACAACUUGGCCAAGGCGCAAACACGCAUGAAAACUCUAGCUGACAAGUCGAGGACUGAGGUUGCCUUUGAGAUUGGGGAUUGGGUUUACGUCAAAUUAAAACCCUAUAGGCAGGUAUCCCUUCGUUUGCAAAAGGAUCACAAAUUAGGUAGACGAUACUUUGGUCCUUUCCAGGUCCUCAAAAGGAUCGGCUUAGUGGCAUAUAAGUUGGAGCUUCCAGAGGCGGCUAAGAUUCACCCUGUUUUUCAUGUCUCUACUAUGCUCAAGCGAUAUGUGGGAAGCCCAGACCAACAAAUUAUGCCGCUAAAUCUGUUUGAUUUCGCCAAUGACUCUUCCCAGCUCGAUCCAAACCUUGAGGACAAGGUUGUUUUUCAGGGAGAGAGUAAUGUUGUGAAUACAAACACGUUGGCAGCUGACAAAGAUGACAGGGAGGAUGCCACUAGUGACCAUCACAUGGAUCUGCCACGUAGGAGUUUUAGAACAGUAAUUCCUCCGGUUAAACUUGGGGAUUACGUUUGGAAAGGAGGAGGGGCACAUAAGUAAAAUGACAGAGUUUGUUAGAAAGAUAAAAGCAACAGUAGUGCGGCAUUGCGAGGCAGGCAAAAAUGUUAUGAGUGAUUUCUGGUUUUCUCAUCCCUUUCUUCUGUUUCCUCAUCUCCUUCCUCUACCUAUCUUAGCUACUUUCCUUUUGCAUUUUCAUUUGUAAUUCAGUCAAUUGACUGUUGCAAGUUACUGUCCAAUUUGUAAUUGUUCUCCAGUUAACUAACAUCAAUUAGAUAGUUU
RNAcentral lists this long non-coding RNA (4922 nucleotides) under Nicotiana tabacum (common tobacco). RNAcentral's name for it is "long non-coding RNA (NTAB_LNC008247)". The record is from RNAcentral. Lineage: Eukaryota; Viridiplantae; Streptophyta; Magnoliopsida; Solanales; Solanaceae.